AAGGUGAAGUCGUAACAAGGUUUCCGUAGGUGAACCUGCGGAAGGAUCAUUCACAAACGAGUGUUUUAUGGCACUCUUUAAAAAUCCAUAUCCACCUUGUGUGCAAUGUUUGUUGGGAAAGUCUUUUCUUUCCCUUCAUAAAUAUCAACCUAUAUCUUUAACAACAUUCGUCUGAUAACAUAUUAUGAAUAUACUUAAUUCAAAAUAUAACUUUCAACAACGGAUCUCUUGGCUCUCGCAUCGAUGAAGAACGCAGCGAAAUGCGAUACGUAAUGUGAAUUGCAGAAUUCAGUGAAUCAUCGAAUCUUUGAACGCAUAUUGCGCUCUUUGGUAUUCCGAAGAGCAUGCUUGUUUGAGUAUCAGUAAACACCUCAACCUCUCUUUUUGACAAAAAAAGAGAGGGUGGACUUGAGCUAUCCCAACGACCUUCACCGGUAGGCGGGCGGCUUGAAAUGCAGGUGCAGCUGGACUUUUAUCUGAGCUAAAAGCAUAUCUAUUUAGUCCUCGUCAAACAGGAUUAUUACUUUUGCUGCAGCUAACAUAAAGGAUAAUUGUCCUCUUUGCUGACUGAUGCAGGAUUUUACGACACUUUAUGUGUUGUUCAACUCGAUCUCAAAUCAAGUAAGACUACCCGCUGAACUUAAGCAUAUCAAUA
Molecule: ribosomal RNA, 655 nt
Filed under: fungal sp. GD9C
Lineage: Eukaryota; Fungi
Description: eukaryotic LSU rRNA
Rfam family: 5.8S ribosomal RNA (bases 209-362)
Source: RNAcentral